AUGAUGAGCGGCGGCAGGAUGAACGCGGCGGCGAGCGACGACUUCCCGUUCGCGGCAAUGCAGCAGCCGCCCUACGUCGGCUUAGAGCACGCCGGCGGCGGAGGAGGAGGCCAGCGCAACCAGGGCGCGAUGAUGUACGACAACUUCGACUUCGCGGCGGCCGCCGCCGAAUUCGGUCAGUUCCAGGACGCGCCGCACCACCAGAUGCUGGCGCUGCCACUGAACGGCAACGGCGCCGGCGGGCUCGUCCCCAUGGCGCCGCCGCCCAUGCCCGGGAUGCAGCUGCAGAUGCCGCCCAUGCCCCACGGGAUGCACAGCCACGGCGACGUGUACUCGGCGAUGGGGAUGGUGAAGCGCGAGGGCGGCGCCGGGGACGCGGGGAGGAUCGGGCUGAACCUCGGGCGCCGGACCUAUUUCUCCCCCGGCGACAUGAUGGCCGUGGACCGGAUGCUGAUGCGGUCCCGUCUCGGCGGCGUGUUCGGGCUGGGAUUCGGGCGCGCCCACCACCAGGCGCCUCGGUGCCAGGUGCAGGACUGCAAGGCCGACCUCUCCGGCGCCAAGCACUACCACCGGCGCCACAAGGUGUGCGAGUACCACGCCAAGGCGGCGCUUGUCUCCGCCGCCGGCAAGCAGCAGCGCUUCUGCCAGCAAUGCAGCAGGUUCCACGUGCUCACGGAGUUCGACGAGGCCAAGAGGAGCUGCCGGAGGCGGCUCGCAGAGCACAACCGUCGCCGGAGGAAGCCGGCGGCCAGCAGCACCAUGGCGGCGUCCAAGGACUCGGCGUCGCCUUCCGACAACAACACACUGAGCACGACGAAGUCGACCAUCUCCUCCAACACGAGCGCGAUCAGCUGCCUCCAGCAGGGCCAGGCCAGGGAGGUAGCGGCGACGAGGCCGACGGCGCUCACCCUCGGUGCGACGCCGGAGAAGGACGACCACCAGCAGCAGAUCAGGAACGCCAUGCAGCUCCACCACCAUCAGGAGCAGCAGCACUUCAUCAACUCCCUCUUGCAGAACAACAUCCGUAACAGCAACAUCCUGUCGUGUUCCUCGGUUAGCUCCAGCACGGUGCCAUUGGCGGUGGCGGCCAACGGCGAGGUCUCCGACCAGAACAACGACAACAAGAACAAUGUCAGCAACAACGUCAACAGCGGCAUGCAUAUGUUUGAGGUGGACUUCAUGUAG
Molecule: ribosomal RNA, 1185 nt
Filed under: Triticum aestivum (bread wheat)
Lineage: Eukaryota; Viridiplantae; Streptophyta; Magnoliopsida; Poales; Poaceae
Description: partial small subunit ribosomal RNA
Source: RNAcentral